This 189-nucleotide ribosomal RNA is filed under the name Bacillus multifaciens. RNAcentral's name for it is "partial 16S ribosomal RNA". It matches the Rfam family "Bacterial small subunit ribosomal RNA", at positions 1 to 184 of the family's 1533-position model. The record is from RNAcentral. Lineage: Bacteria; Bacillati; Bacillota; Bacilli; Caryophanales; Bacillaceae.
UUAUUGGAGAGUUUGAUCCUGGCUCAGGAUGAACGCUGGCGGCGUGCCUAAUACAUGCAAGUCGAGCGAACCGAUUAAGAGCUUGCUCUUAAGAAGUUAGCGGCGGACGGGUGAGUAACACGUGGGUAACCUACCUAUAAGACUGGGAUAACUCCGGGAAACCGGGGCUAAUACCGGAUAACAUUUUGC